This 504-nucleotide ribosomal RNA is filed under the name uncultured bacterium. RNAcentral describes it as "partial 16S ribosomal RNA". It matches the Rfam family "Bacterial small subunit ribosomal RNA", at positions 29 to 523 of the family's 1533-position model. The record is from RNAcentral.
AGUGAACGCUGGCGGUAGGCCUAACACAUGCAAGUCGAACGGCAGCACAGGAGAGCUUGCUCUCUGGGUGGCGAGUGGCGGACGGGUGAGGAAUACAUCGGAAUCUACUCUGUCGUGGGGGAUAACGUAGGGAAACUUACGCUAAUACCGCAUACGACCUACGGGUGAAAGCAGGGGACCUUCGGGCCUUGCGCGAUUGAAUGAGCCGAUGUCGGAUUAGCUAGUUGGCGGGGUAAAGGCCCACCAAGGCGACGAUCCGUAGCUGGUCUGAGAGGAUGAUCAGCCACUGGAACUGAGACACGGUCCAGACUCCUACGGGAGGCAGCAGUGGGGAAUAUUGGACAAUGGGCGCAAGCCUGAUCCAGCCAUACCGCGUGGGUGAAGAAGGCCUUCGGGUUGUAAAGCCCUUUUGUUGGGAAGGAAAUCCAGCUGGCUAAUACCCGGUUGGGAUGACGGUACCCAAAGAAUAAGCACCGGCUAACUUCGUGCCAGCCGCCGCAGUAA